RNAcentral lists this ribosomal RNA (3005 nucleotides) under Proteus vulgaris. RNAcentral's name for it is "23S ribosomal RNA". It matches the Rfam family "Bacterial large subunit ribosomal RNA". Lineage: Bacteria; Pseudomonadati; Pseudomonadota; Gammaproteobacteria; Enterobacterales; Morganellaceae. The record is from RNAcentral.
UUAAGCGAAUAAGCGUACACGGUGGAUGCCUAGGCAAUCAGAGGCGAUGAAGGACGUGCUAAUCUGCGAUAAGCGUCGGUAAGGUGAUAUGAACCGUUAUACCCGACGAUUUCCGAAUGGGGAAACCCAAUAUCCAAUGGAUAUUAUCAUUAACUGAAUACAUAGGUUAAUGAAGCGAACCGGGAGAACUGAAACAUCUCAGUACCCCGAGGAAAAGAAAUCAACCGAGAUUCCCCUAGUAGCGGCGAGCGAACGGGGAACAGCCCAGAGUCUUAAUCAACAGCAGCAUCAGGAGAACGGUCUGGAAAGUCCGGCAGUAAAGGGUGAUAGCCCCGUAUCCGAAGAUGCUGUUAUUGUGAACUCGACGAGUAGGGCGGGACACGUGUUAUCCUGUCUGAAUAUGGGGGGACCAUCCUCCAAGGCUAAAUACUCCUGAUUGACCGAUAGUGAACCAGUACCGUGAGGGAAAGGCGAAAAGAACCCCGGCGAGGGGAGUGAAAAAGAACCUGAAACCGUGUACGUACAAGCAGUAGGAGCCCCACCACUAAGCUAGUGGUGAACUCACAGCGAUUCUUUUGCAUGAUAAAGAGCGGUAGACGACGCGAAGUGACGUCCAACCAAUCCAAUCAGGCAGAGGAGGCUUAGUGGUGGGGUGACUGCGUACCUUUUGUAUAAUGGGUCAGCGACUUAUAUUCUGUAGCAAGGUUAACCGAAUAGGGGAGCCGUAGGGAAACCGAGUCUUAACUGGGCGAAUGAGUUGCAGGGUAUAGACCCGAAACCCGGUGAUCUAUCCAUGGGCAGGUUGAAGGUUGGGUAACACUAACUGGAGGACCGAACCGACUAAUGUUGAAAAAUUAGCGGAUGACUUGUGGAUGGGGGUGAAAGGCCAAUCAAACCGGGAGAUAGCUGGUUCUCCCCGAAAGCUAUUUAGGUAGCGCCUCGUGAACUCAUCUUCGGGGGUAGAGCACUGUUUCGACUAGGGGGUCAUCCCGACUUACCAACUCGAUGCAAACUGCGAAUACCGAAGAAUGUUAUCACGGGAGACACACGGCGGGUGCUAACGUCCGUCGUGAAGAGGGAAACAACCCAGACCGCCAGCUAAGGUCCCAAAGUCAUGGUUAAGUGGGAAACGAAGUGGGAAGGCUCAGACAGCCAGGAUGUUGGCUUAGAAGCAGCCAUCAUUUAAAGAAAGCGUAAUAGCUCACUGGUCGAGUCGGCCCGCGCGGAAGAUGUAACGGGGCUAAACCAUGCACCGAAGCUGCGGCAGCAACACUAAGUGUUGUUGGGUAGGGGAGCGUUCUGUAAGCCUGCGAAGGUGUACUGUGAGGUAUGCUGGAGGUAUCAGAAGUGCGAAUGCUGACAUAAGUAACGAUAAUGCGGGUGAAAAACCCGCACGCCGGAAGACCAAGGGUUCCUGUCCAACGUUAAUCGGGGCAGGGUGAGUCGACCCCUAAGGCGAGGCUGAAAAGCGUAGUCGAUGGGAAACGGGUUAAUAUUCCCGUACUGGUGGUAACUGCGAUGGGGGAACGGAGAAGGCUAGGUUGUCCGGGCGACGGUCGUCCCGGUUCAAGCAUGUAGGCAGAGUGAUUAGGCAAAUCCGGUCACUUAAUGCUGAGGUGUGAUGACGAGCCACUAAGGUGGUGAAGCAAUUGAUGCCCUGCUUCCAGGAAAAGCCUCUAAGCUUCAGGUUACCAACAAUCGUACCCCAAACCGACACAGGUGGUCAGGUAGAGAAUACUCAGGCGCUUGAGAGAACUCGGGUGAAGGAACUAGGCAAAAUGGUGCCGUAACUUCGGGAGAAGGCACGCUGGCGGUAAGUGAAGUCCCUUGCGGACGGAGCCGAAGCCAGUCGAAGAUACCAGCUGGCUGCAACUGUUUAUUAAAAACACAGCACUGUGCAAACACGAAAGUGGACGUAUACGGUGUGACGCCUGCCCGGUGCUGGAAGGUUAAUUGAUGGGGUUAUCCUUAGGGAGAAGCUCUUGAUCGAAGCCCCAGUAAACGGCGGCCGUAACUAUAACGGUCCUAAGGUAGCGAAAUUCCUUGUCGGGUAAGUUCCGACCUGCACGAAUGGCGUAAUGAUGGCCAGGCUGUCUCCACCCGAGACUCAGUGAAAUUGAACUCGCUGUGAAGAUGCAGUGUACCCGCGGCAAGACGGAAAGACCCCGUGAACCUUUACUAUAGCUUGACACUGAACAUUGAGCCUUGAUGUGUAGGAUAGGUGGGAGACUAUGAAGUGUGGACGCCAGUCUGCAUGGAGUCAACCUUGAAAUACCACCCUUUAACGUUUGAUGUUCUAACCUAGGCCCGUAAUCCGGGUCGGGGACCGUGUCUGGUGGGUAGUUUGACUGGGGCGGUCUCCUCCUAAAGAGUAACGGAGGAGCACGAAGGUUGGCUAAGCAUGGUCGGACAUCAUGCGGUUAGUGCAAAGGCAUAAGCCAGCUUGACUGUGAGAGUGACGGCUCGAGCAGGUACGAAAGUAGGUCUUAGUGAUCCGGUGGUUCUGAAUGGAAGGGCCAUCGCUCAACGGAUAAAAGGUACUCCGGGGAUAACAGGCUGAUACCGCCCAAGAGUUCAUAUCGACGGCGGUGUUUGGCACCUCGAUGUCGGCUCAUCACAUCCUGGGGCUGAAGUAGGUCCCAAGGGUAUGGCUGUUCGCCAUUUAAAGUGGUACGCGAGCUGGGUUUAGAACGUCGUGAGACAGUUCGGUCCCUAUCUGCCGUGGGCGUUGGAAGAUUGAGAGGGGUUGCUCCUAGUACGAGAGGACCGGAGUGAACGCACCACUGGUGUUCGGGUUGUCAUGCCAAUGGCAUUGCCCGGUAGCUAAGUGCGGAAGAGAUAACCGCUGAAAGCAUCUAAGCGGGAAACUUGCCUCGAGAUGAGUCUUCCCUGUCACCUUGAGUGACCUAAAGGAACGUUUAAGACUAAGACGUUGAUAGGCUGGGUGUGUAAGCGUAGCGAUACGUUGAGCUAACCAGUACUAAUGAACCGUGAGGCUUAACCUG